RNAcentral lists this ribosomal RNA (465 nucleotides) under Vreelandella stevensii. RNAcentral describes it as "partial 16S ribosomal RNA". It matches the Rfam family "Bacterial small subunit ribosomal RNA", at positions 338 to 795 of the family's 1533-position model. Lineage: Bacteria; Pseudomonadati; Pseudomonadota; Gammaproteobacteria; Oceanospirillales; Halomonadaceae. The record is from RNAcentral.
CCUACGGGCGGCUGCAGUGGGGAGUAUUGGACAAUGGGCGAAAGCCUGAUCCAGCCAUGCCGCGUGUGUGAAGAAGGCCUUCGGGUUGUAAAGCACUUUCAGUGGGGAAGAAAGCCUUGGGGCUAAUACCCUCGAGGAAGGACAUCACCCACAGAAGAAGCACCGGCUAACUCCGUGCCAGCAGCCGCGGUAAUACGGAGGGUGCGAGCGUUAAUCGGAAUUACUGGGCGUAAAGCGCGCGUAGGCGGUCUGAUAAGCCGGUUGUGAAAGCCCCGGGCUCAACCUGGGAACGGCAUCCGGAACUGUCAGGCUAGAGUGCAGGAGAGGAAGGUAGAAUUCCCGGUGUAGCGGUGAAAUGCGUAGAGAUCGGGAGGAAUACCAGUGGCGAAGGCGGCCUUCUGGACUGACACUGACGCUGAGGUGCGAAAGCGUGGGUAGCAAACAGGAUUAGAUACCCGAGUAGUC